RNAcentral lists this ribosomal RNA (497 nucleotides) under uncultured bacterium. Its description in RNAcentral is "partial 16S ribosomal RNA". It matches the Rfam family "Bacterial small subunit ribosomal RNA", at positions 28 to 507 of the family's 1533-position model. The record is from RNAcentral.
GACGAACGCUGGCGGCGUGCCUAAUACAUGCAAGUUGAGCGAUGAAGCUUGGUGCUUGCACCAAUUUGAAGAGCAGCGAACGGGUGAGUAACGCGUGGGGAAUCUGCCUUUGAGCGGGGGACAACAUUUGGAAACGAAUGCUAAUACCGCAUAACAACUUUAAACAUAAGUUUUAAGUUUGAAAGAUGCAAUUGCAUCACUCAAAGAUGAUCCCGCGUUGUAUUAGCUAGUUGGUGAGGUAAAGGCUCACCAAGGCGAUGAUACAUAGCCGACCUGAGAGGGUGAUCGGCCACAUUGGGAAUGAGACACGGCCCAAACUCCUACGGGAGGCAGCAGUAGGGAAUCUUCGGCAAUGGACGAAAGUCUGACCGAGCAACGCCGCGUGAGUGAAGAAGGGUUUCGGAUCGUAAAACUCUGUUGGUAGAGAAGAACGUUGGUGAGAGUGGAAAGCUCAUCAAGUGACGGUAACUACCCAGAAAGGGACGGCUAACUACGUG